RNAcentral lists this long non-coding RNA (1044 nucleotides) under Oryctolagus cuniculus (rabbit). RNAcentral's name for it is "lncRNA (ENSOCUG00000039397.1)". Lineage: Eukaryota; Metazoa; Chordata; Mammalia; Lagomorpha; Leporidae. The record is from RNAcentral.
UUUGGUCCUUGGAGCUUUCCCAGCGCUUUCCCAGGUUUAUCCUGUUUUAUGUGUGAGGAUAGCAAGACAUGGAGAGUAAAAUGUCUCGCUCAAGAUCACGCCUGCAGGAAACGGGCACGCUGGAAGCUACGUGCAAGUCCAGGUACCAAUGGUCUUAUUUGUCACCUGGCUGGAAAGAAUUGGUGAUAUUGGGAUGCUCCUGCACUGAGUCAGCCGACAGCAUUCUGAGAGAAGUUCUGGAGCCAGCCCUGUGGGAGACCGCUGCUGGUUUUUAGAGCCAGGCUGUGAAGACCCCUCCCCCAAAACAAGUGUUUCCAACAUCAGGAAGACCACAUGAAUGAGAGAAGCUGAUGAGUUCACACCCGAGUUUAUCUCGCAUCCUCUUACCUCGGAGUCUGUACGGGUGCAGCAUCGCCUAUCGCCUUGCCCGCCUUUCUCACCAGCUGCCGCUUCACAAAGACAAGAGCGUAUAUGUAAAGGAGGAGAAGCCCCUGACGAAAUCCGAACUACCAAUGGUUGUGCUUUCCGGCCCACUUGUCCAGAGACCUUCCAGGAAGCUCUGUCACCUCUUCAGUCCCAGGACAGAGCCAGCAGGCUCUUGGCAAAGCAGAAACAGGUACCCAGAUGUGUUCAAAGCUUCUUAGCAAAGGAACUUCAUUCCUUUGUGUUAUCGUGUCUGUAGCAGAGUGACAAGUACACGUGCGUUAAUUUUGUUUAUUUUAAAACAGCUGCAUUGGGGCUCAUUUUCCACAGCACAGAACUCACUGAUUUUGAGUACAAAAUUCAGUGAUGACUCAGCAAAUCUACAAAGUAUUGCAGCAGCAGCACCACCAGGAAUGGGUUUGGGAACAUUUUCUUCCCCUUAACCCUGUGCCUCAGGCGUCUUUACUCUGAAUCCUCUGCUCCCAUACCAGGCGACACCUGUCUAUCAGUUUGCCUUUGGGGACGUCCCAUAUUUCAUUCCUGUGCCCCAUUAAGUCACUGAAAUCUGUGGGUUGCUUGUUUUCACAGCUUAGUUGAGUCUCUCUUGCUAGAUUUCAAAGG